RNAcentral lists this signal recognition particle RNA (313 nucleotides) under Candidatus Bathyarchaeota archaeon RBG_16_48_13. RNAcentral describes it as "signal recognition particle sRNA". It matches the Rfam family "Archaeal signal recognition particle RNA". The record is from RNAcentral. RNAcentral also lists the same sequence under 1 other name. Lineage: Archaea; Thermoproteati; Candidatus Bathyarchaeota.
GCGGUAGGAUGGCUGGGGAGCUCGCUCUUCCCUGCAACCCGAAAUGAGCGACACGCGGGAGCCUGAUAACCUGGACGGAGGAUCAUUCUGAACAGGGAGGAAACCAACUCCGUGAAGAUGAAAUUCUAUCCUGAGGGGCCGUUGGAAGGAGAUACUCCUUUGUAGGAAGGAGGAUUCCCCCUAACUGCUGAAACGGGUCAGGCCAGGGAUGGAGCAGCCCUAAAGUGGACGGAUGGCGCUCUCAGGGCUAUGGAACGGAUUUUGCGGAUUGUGCACUUCCUUGGGAUGGGUUUCAACGCCCAGGAGCUACCGC